GACGAACGCUGGCGGCGUGCUUAACACAUGCAUGUCGAACGGAAAGGCCCUGCUUUUGUGGGGUGCUCGAGUGGCGAACGGGUGAGUAACACGUGAGUAACCUGCCCUUGACUUUGGGAUAACUUCAGGAAACUGGGGCUAAUACCGGAUAGGAGCUCCUGCUGCAUGGUGGGGGUUGGAAAGUUUCGGCGGUUGGGGAUGGACUCGCGGCUUAUCAGCUUGUUGGUGGGGUAGUGGCUUACCAAGGCUUUGACGGGUAGCCGGCCUGGGAGGGUGACCGGCCACAUUGGGACUGAGAUACGGCCCAGACUCCUACGGGAGGCAGCAGUGGGGAAUAUGGCACAAUGGGCGGAAGCCUGAUGCAGCAACGCCGCGUGCGGGAUGACGGCCUUCGGGUUGUAAACCGCUGUCGCCUGUGACGAAGCGUGAGUGACGGUAAUGGGUAAAGAAGCACCGGCUAACUACGUG
RNAcentral lists this ribosomal RNA (468 nucleotides) under uncultured bacterium. RNAcentral's name for it is "partial 16S ribosomal RNA". It matches the Rfam family "Bacterial small subunit ribosomal RNA", at positions 28 to 507 of the family's 1533-position model. The record is from RNAcentral.